CCUACGGGGGGCAGCAGUGGGGGAUAUUGCACAAUGGGGGAAACCCUGAUGCAGCGACGCUGCGUGAGUGAAGAAGUAUUUCGGUACGUAAAGCUCUAUCAGCAGGGAAGAAAAUGACGGUACCUGACUAAGAAGCCCCGGCUAACUACGUGCCAGCAGCCGCGGUAAUACGUAGGGGGCAAGCGUUAUCCGGAUUUACUGGGUGUAAAGGGAGCGUAGACGGCAUUGCAAGUCUGAUGUGAAAGAUUGGGGCUCAACCCCAGGCCUGCAUUGGAAACUGUAAAGCUAGAGUACAGGAGAGGUAA
This 305-nucleotide ribosomal RNA is filed under the name uncultured bacterium. RNAcentral's name for it is "bacterial SSU rRNA". It matches the Rfam family "Bacterial small subunit ribosomal RNA", at positions 338 to 660 of the family's 1533-position model. The record is from RNAcentral.